AAGCGGAACAAACGGGGAAGGACCUACCUGAAUCUGUCCAAUAGAAAGUCUCGUUUUCGUUAAAAAAAAUACUUUUCAGUUUGGAGUAAACUGUUUCUGUAAACUGUUCAGACGAAAAGUUUUGCAACAGAAUUGCCGAAAUGAAUACACCCCUGUUUAAACGCUUGCAGUCUCGCACUAAAUACGACACAUUGCGCGAAUAAUUUAUUAAAAAUGGAUACCGGUGCUCAUGCCACAUCUUUCCAUGUCUGGCAAUAUAGACAACAUUUCAUUUUCAAGGAAUUAAGAGAAAAAAAUAUGACCGUCCAGUGUGUUCUAUGCAAACCCAAAAUCCGCAUGUUGUCUAGCUCCAAGAACUCGACAUCAAAUCUGAAGAAACAUUUAGAGAGAAAGCAUGCAAUCAUGUAUCUGAAGUCGCCUAAAGGUGAGAUGGAUGGACCUAAGUCUCCUAAGGAGCCACGCUACAAGAAAUCCAAGCUGGAAAACCUUGUCAAUCAAAUGACGUCACAGCCUAAAGUGAACACCCUGGUCUUCAACUUUAUGGUGGAAAAUGUCCAGUCGCUGUCUGUCUUGGAACAGCCUGCUUUCAGGAAGUUGAUUGAGGGCUUAAGUGGAGGGAAGAUGUCCAUGACCCGAAAUACUUUUAUCAAUGGAAUUAUGAUGGCAUACUCCAAAAUGAAGGAGGAACUAAAGGAAAAGCUGGACAGUGUACAAUCUGUGUGCACUACAGCUGAUAUCUGGUCAGCUCACAACAGAAGCUACAUUGGGAUGACAUGUCAUUGGAUUGAGAAGAAUGAGCUGGUGAGGAAGUCUGCUGCACUUGCCUGUGCCAGAAUACGGGGCUCGCAUACAUUUGAAACCAUUUGCAGCCAAAAUACACAAGAUUCAUUUGGCUUACAAUAUUGAAAACAAACUUCAGGCUACAGUCACUGAUAAUGGCAGCAACUUCGUCAAAGUCUUCAAAGAGUUUUCAAAGGGGGACAAUGAAAACUAUGAAGAUGACAUUGUUGAAUUUCAGGACGUGGGCACCAUACUUGACGGAGCAGAUGAGGCCAUGCACCUCUUUCUGCUGCCGCACCAGAGAUGUGCAUCGCACGCAUUGAAUCUGAUUGCCUCCCACGAUCUAGUGCAAGUUCUAUCACAGGGAGAAACUGAUCAAGUGUACUGCAGCGCAAUGGCCAAAUGUUUUGCCAUAUGGAACAGCGUCCACCAAUCCCCAUUGACUAUAGCAGCAGUGGAGGACAUAGAGAAAAGGAAAUUGACUGCUCCUUGUGUGAGUCGCUGGAUUUCUGAAUACUCUGCAGUGGAAAAGAUGGUCUCUCCCUGAAACAAAACUAAUGGAUGUUUGCGACCGCUUUGGGGUCCCAAGACUGCUAUCUUAUGAGAUAGCAUUUUUAAAAGAAUACAUACAUGUCUUCAAGCCACUUGCUUUUGCACUGGAACUCUUCCAAGGAGAGCAAAAAUGUUUUCUUGGACUGGUCAUACCUACGGUACUCACAUUGAAGAAAAAGCUAUGUGAGAAGAAAACUCUUGCGCUCUAUCUCUUGGACGUCAUCAACCCUGUUCUAAACACAAUAGAUUCCCAUUUCAAACAGCUCUUUGCCAGUCUGGAUGCAAAAAUGGCAACAGCAACUACACCACAAUUCCGUUUGUGGUGGCUACCAGAAGCUGAGAGAGAAGACAUGCAUUUGAUGCUGGUGGCUGAGGCAAUCCGAUUGGAGCCGACUGGUGGUGAGCCAAUCAGCAGCGACAACGUGCAGUCAGAAGACGAAUUCUUUAGUUUCGGGCCUGGGACUGGCAACAGUGACACAGAAGAGGAAGUCCGGAGGUACCCCGAGGGAACCAGCAAAAGUCUCAGUUGCCUGAAAUACUUCCAGAGAGUGAGAAAGCUGUUCCUCAAAUUCAAUGCCAUCCUACCCUCAAGUGUUCUUGUGGAGCGCCUCUUCAGUCAUAAUGGGAACAUUCUCACCCCUAAAAGGAAUGGUUUGACUGAUGAUCAGUUUGAGCAAGUUCUCCUUUUGCGGUACAACAGCUAAAUAUGCACUCUGGACAAAAUAUUCCCUGAGUAAAAAUGUAAAGGGAUUUUUUUCACAGAUCAUGUAUCAGGCAAAGGAGGAUUGGUGUGGGGGGGGGGGCUAAAGGAGGACUGGCUCAUUGUAAUGGCUUGAAUGGAUUUAAUGGAACCAUAUCAAACGCAUCAAACAUGCGCAAACGACGUUUGACUCCGGCUCCAUCUAUUUAAUUCCAGCCAUUACAAUGAGCCCGUCCUCCUAUAGCUCCUCCCACCAGCCUCCACUGAUAUCAGGGGUGUAUUCUUUGUUGUGUUUGUUAAGUUCACAUUGAACAUGUUGUUUAAAAGUCAUCAAAGUCUGUGUGUGCAGAGGUUAAAACAGAUAUUUAUGUUAGUCGGUGUGACUAAAUUUAAGCAAUAAGGCCUGAGAGGGUGCGGUUUAUGGCCAAUAUACCACAGCUAAGGGCUGUUCUUAGUGCACGACGCAACACAGAGUGCUGCGGUAGAACAGGCAGACCUUACAUUGCUUACUUACAAGCCCUUAACCAACAAUGCCAUUUGAUUAGAUGUUCAGGAGUCUUAUGGUUUGGAGGUAGAAGCUGUUGAGAAGCCUUUUGGACCUAGACUUGGCGCUCCAGUACCGCUUGCCGUGCGGUAGCAGAGAGUCGCUGGAUUUCUGGGUGGCUAGAGUCUUUUUUUUUUAGGGCUUUCCUCUGACACCGCCUGGUAUAGAGGUCCUGGAUGGCAGAAAGCUUGGCCCGGUGAUGUAAUGGUCAGAGGCCAUAUACCACAAACCCUGAGGUGCCUUAUUGCUAUUAUAAACUGGUUACCAAUGUAGUAAGAACAGUAAACAUACCUGUGCUAUACAUUCUGAUAUACCAUGUCAAUCACCACUUUUUUUUAAAGCUUUAUUUAUGACAGCCUAUGAACAAGUCAGUUAAGAACAAGUCAGUUAAGAACAAAUUCUGAUUUUCAAUGACAGCCUAGGAACAGUGGGUUAACUGCCUGUUCAGGGGCAGAACGACAGAUUUGAAUCUUGUCAGCUCAGGGAUUUGAACUUGCAACCUUCCGGUUACUAGUCCAAUGCUCUAACCACUAGGCUACCCUGCCGCCCCAGGGACUCAAAUCACCCAGUUUAUAAAUAUAUUAUACCACAGGUACGACAAAAGAUUACUUUUUACUCUUCUAGUUACGUUGGUAACCCGUUUAUAAUAGCAAUAAGGUGCCUCGGGGGUUUGUCGUAUAUGGCUGUAUUCAGGCACUCUGCGUUGCAUCUUGCAUAAAAACAGCCCUUAGCUGUGGUAUAUUGGCCAUAUACUACACCCCCUCGGGCAUUGUUUAAAUAUAUACUUAUUCAAAAUAUUGAGUUAUGUACUAGUUAAAUGCAAAUGUCUACUUUUCGUUUUCUUUUUUUACAUAAUGCUGCUAGCCUACCUUUUACACGUGAUUACAUAGAAAAUGAGUCUAACGUAAAUCAAAUGGAACAGAUUAAAAUAAUUCUAAAUAUG
Long non-coding RNA from Oncorhynchus gorbuscha (pink salmon), 3519 nucleotides. RefSeq lists it as uncharacterized. The transcript has 2 exons. The record is from RefSeq and is a predicted model, not a curated record. NCBI's taxonomy places the organism in Eukaryota, Metazoa, Chordata, Actinopteri, Salmoniformes, Salmonidae.